Molecule: non-coding RNA, 91 nt
Filed under: bovine gut metagenome
Description: THF riboswitch
Rfam family: THF (Tetrahydrofolate) riboswitch aptamer
About the family: THF riboswitch presents a pseudoknot that joins P1-P2 and the loop of P3 and two THF binding.
Source: RNAcentral
UAGAGUAAAUAUCAAGCGUUAAGUGUCCUGGGAUGGGAUGUUGCCCGGGAACGAAAACUUUCAAAGUUGCGGUUUGGUAUUGCAUCCGCUA